AUGUCCACGUGCCUAAGACAGCGUCACGAGACGAGUGCGGCGCGUAAAACACACAGAGAGAAAGUGCUAGCACGCUCUCUCCUCUAUCCCUCUCUGUCCGAAAUGAUGUCUACUAGCUUAGGGGGAGUCCGCAUCAGCAUUCAAGAGCUAACAACGCCCCGAGCAAACCGCGCACGGCACAAAGGUGGCCGGCCGGAGAUCCAAGCCGCUCCGCACGCGACAGGUGUGUGUACGUCGCUUCGUACCACGUCGUCCAGAUUUCCCACGCCACCACGCAACUUACUAUCCCACGACCACCGCUCCUCCUCGCGGCUCACACGCCCAGAUUUCCCUGACAGUGGUUAG
RNAcentral lists this ribosomal RNA (345 nucleotides) under Triticum aestivum (bread wheat). Its description in RNAcentral is "partial small subunit ribosomal RNA". The record is from RNAcentral. Lineage: Eukaryota; Viridiplantae; Streptophyta; Magnoliopsida; Poales; Poaceae.